UAUGGAACAAAGUCCAUUUGCUCUUGCAUUUAAAAACGAGCAUCUUCUGUUUCGAAUAAAAAUGAUUCCUUAUCAUACGAUCAUUAUAAAACUUACCGCUCCUAACACCCGGGACCUCUCUCAGAGAGGUCCUUCAACAAAUGGAGAGAUAAUGGCGGAAUGGAUGAGCCCUCCUUCAAAUGGAGGGCUCAUCCAUACCGGGGUGUUGAGAAACACCGAAGAAAAAACAGCAACCAAAAGGCUGUAAAUGUCUAUCAGUCUAUAUUUAUGACUUCUAUCAG
Hydra vulgaris (swiftwater hydra) is the source of this 281-nucleotide non-coding RNA. NCBI's taxonomy places the organism in Eukaryota, Metazoa, Cnidaria, Hydrozoa, Anthoathecata, Hydridae. The record is from RefSeq and is a predicted model, not a curated record.